This 253-nucleotide ribosomal RNA is filed under the name uncultured bacterium. RNAcentral's name for it is "partial 16S ribosomal RNA". It matches the Rfam family "Bacterial small subunit ribosomal RNA", at positions 524 to 776 of the family's 1533-position model. The record is from RNAcentral.
UACGUAGGCAGCAAGCGUUGUUCGGAGUUACUGGGCGUAAAGGGUGUGUAGGCGGUUCUUUAAGUUUGCUGUGAAAUCUCCCGGCUUAACCGGGAGGGUGCGGUGAAUACUGAGGGACUAGAGUACGGGAGAGGAAAGUGGAAUUCCUGGUGUAGCGGUGAAAUGCGUAGAUAUCAGGAGGAACACCGGUGGCGAAGGCGGAUCUCUGGGCCAUAACUGACGCUGAGGAGCGAAAGCAUGGGGAGCGAACAGG